This 237-nucleotide ribosomal RNA is filed under the name uncultured bacterium. RNAcentral's name for it is "partial 16S ribosomal RNA". It matches the Rfam family "Bacterial small subunit ribosomal RNA", at positions 15 to 235 of the family's 1533-position model. The record is from RNAcentral.
GAUCCUGGCUCAGGACGAACGCUGGCGGCGUGCUUAACACAUGCAAGUCGAACGAGAAUCUACGGAUCGAGGAUUCGUCCAAGAGAAGUAGAGGACAGUGGCGGACGGGUGAGUAACGCGUGAGGAACCUGCCUUUCAGAGGGGGACAACAGUUGGAAACGACUGCUAAUACCGCAUGACACAUUGGGGUCGCAUGGCCUUGAUGUCAAAGAUUUAUCGCUGAAAGAUGGCCUCGCG